RNAcentral lists this ribosomal RNA (519 nucleotides) under Triticum aestivum (bread wheat). RNAcentral describes it as "partial small subunit ribosomal RNA". Lineage: Eukaryota; Viridiplantae; Streptophyta; Magnoliopsida; Poales; Poaceae. The record is from RNAcentral.
AUGGAAUUAAGUUUGUCUCGUACGCUUCACCUUUUUAAUGUCUUUCGUGAGAAUAAGGAUUCCGAUAAUUGUGCUCAAGUGCUAGAAGAAGAAUGCAUUAGAAUGUUUGGCACUAAAUAUUUGAAUUAUGAGCAUGAUUGCAAUGUUGUUAGUAUGAAUUCCUUGAAUAUCUAUGAUGCUAAUGAUAUGCAAAGCCAUGGGCUUGGGGAAGCUAUGUUUGAUGAAGAUGAUAUUUUUAGUCCCCCAAGUUUUGAUGAGAAAAUUUAUUAUGAUGAAAGCAUGCCUCCUAUCUAUGAUGAUUAUUGUGAUGACACGUAUGCUUUAAAGAAUAAUUAUAACCAUGAAACUUGUCAUCAUGAUUUUAGUUUUCAAUUGGAUUAUGCCUCACAUGAUGGUUAUUUCGUUGAGUUUGCUCCCACUACUAUUCAAGAGAAGAAUUUUGCUUAUGUGGAGAGUAAGAAAAUUUCUAUGCUUGUAGAUCAUGAAAAUAAUGCUUUAUGUGAUAUUUAUAUUGUUUAA